UAGACCGAUAGCGAACAAGUAGAGUGAUCGAAAGAUGAAAAGCACUUUGAAAAGAGAGUUAAAAAGUACGUGAAAUUGUUGAAAGGGAAGCGUUUAUGACCAGACUUGGGCUUGGAUAAUCAUCUGGGGUUCUCUCCAGUGCACUUUUCCAGUCCAGGCCAGCAUCAGUUUUCGCCGGGGGAUAAAGGCUUCGGGAAUGUGGCUCUCUCCGGGGAGUGUUAUAGCCCGUUGCGUAAUACCCUGGCGGGGACUGAGGUUCGCGCAUCUGCAAGGAUGCUGGCGUAAUGGUCAUCAACSACCCGUCUUGAAACACRGACCAAGA
RNAcentral lists this ribosomal RNA (322 nucleotides) under Fusarium sp. RNAcentral's name for it is "partial large subunit ribosomal RNA". The record is from RNAcentral. Lineage: Eukaryota; Fungi; Ascomycota; Sordariomycetes; Hypocreales; Nectriaceae.